Molecule: ribosomal RNA, 253 nt
Filed under: uncultured bacterium
Lineage: Bacteria
Description: partial 16S ribosomal RNA
Rfam family: Bacterial small subunit ribosomal RNA
Source: RNAcentral
UACGUAGGGUGCGAGCGUUAAUCGGAAUUACUGGGCGUAAAGCGUGCGCAGGCGGUUCGUUAAGUCAGAUGUGAAAGCCCCGGGCUCAACCUGGGAACUGCAUUUGAAACUGGCGGGCUUGAGUGUGGCAGAGGGGGGUGGAAUUCCGCGUGUAGCAGUGAAAUGCGUAGAGAUGCGGAGGAACACCGGUGGCGAAGGCGGGUCUCUGGGCCGAUACUGACGCUGAGGAGCGAAAGCGUGGGGAGCGAACAGG